CAGCAUUGUAUCUGAAUUUAAACCUGCUCACAAUAACUACGUUGCCAGCAUUUAUCUUUGCUACCAGUAUUACCAUAACAACACCUUGUUAAAGAAGAAGAAGGAAGGAAGGUUGGGUUGCUAGCAUAUAUCUGUGCUACCAGUAUUACCAUAACAACACAUUGUUAAAGAAGAAGAAGAAGAAGGAAGGAAGGAAGGUUGGGUUGCUAGCAUAUAUCUGUGCUACCAGUAGACAAUUACCAUAACAACACAUUGUUAAAGAAGAAGAAGAAGAAGAAGAAGAAGAAGAAGAAGAAGAAGAAGAAGAAGAAGGAAGGAAGGAGGGAAGGGAGGAAGGAAUAUUGGGUUGCUAGGCAACUAAAGACAAGCCUCCUCGUCAUCAUCUCUUGGAUCUGUGAGUUUUGCCCCGUUCAGCUGUCGCCUGUGGACAUCCUCUCUGCAGCAUAAUGUCUUGUGCAGCCUACUUAGAUGGCAACGCAACGCCAAAGUCCAUGAGCAGAGCCAAACAAUGGACUGACGAGGUGGAGAACUUAUACAGAUUCCAACAGGCAGGCUACAGAGAUGAACUGGAAUACAAACAAGUAAAGCAAGUUGACUUGAUCGACAGGUGGCCUGAGACUGGGUUUGUGAAAAAGCUUCAGCGUCGAGACAACACAUUCUAUUACUACAACAGAAAAAGAGAAUGUGAAGACCGGGAAGUCCAUAAAGUGAAGGUCUAUGCAUAUUAAGUCAGGAGUGUCCAGCAAUCUCUUUUCCAUUUUGAAUAUCUUUUGACAUGUUUUUGAAGAAGACGUUUGUAGGAAGGAAGGCAGCACCAUCCCAGCUGUGGAAUGUUGACCAGUUCACUGAAUAAAGGGUGUGAGGCUAAAGCUGUCUGAUGUGUGUGAACCUGUGAUGGGAGGUAUGUGUGUGUUAUAAAGGGUCCUUUUGAUUAGUGUUUUGUUGUGGAUCCAGAUGAACUAUUGAACUGUGUGAGAGGGGAUUAUAGACUGGGGCUAUCACACCCUCAUCAUGUGAUAUUGUGACGUUAGUAUGAGGACUGGGAUUACCGUCAACAAAAUAAAAUACCUAAAGUCUGACCCCCUAACAGGGAUAUUCACAUACCAGUACACUAACUAUGAUUCACAUAUAUAUACCAGUACUCCCAAAUACAACAUAGAGCUGCUGAGCACAUGUUCUGCUGCAUGACAUUCAUGGUUAUUCUAUAAACAUAAAUUUCUAUAUGAAUGUUGUGUAAAGUUGCAUCCUCCUGGGUACUCCUGUGGGGGAUAUGGGGCUCAGUUAGAGUGGACUGAGAGCUGAACUGGUAUGACAGUUAACCCAACUAUUUGGGUUAAGUAUUGGUCCUGACGAAUAUACUUACAAGUCUACAAUGAUCAUUCAUAUGAUAUGAAGAUAACGACUGGAUUUUCCACUGGUGUAAAGUAUUUCAGUAAAAUUACUGGAAAGUU
Molecule: long non-coding RNA, 1451 nt
Organism: Oncorhynchus kisutch (coho salmon)
Lineage: Eukaryota; Metazoa; Chordata; Actinopteri; Salmoniformes; Salmonidae
Exons: 3
Source: RefSeq, a predicted model, not a curated record